This 1407-nucleotide ribosomal RNA is filed under the name Streptococcus sp. 2010_Ileo_MS_XVIa. RNAcentral describes it as "bacterial SSU rRNA". It matches the Rfam family "Bacterial small subunit ribosomal RNA". Lineage: Bacteria; Bacillati; Bacillota; Bacilli; Lactobacillales; Streptococcaceae. The record is from RNAcentral.
GUAGACGCUGAAGAGAGGAGCUUGCUCUUCUUGGAUGAGUUGCGAACGGGUGAGUAACGCGUAGGUAACCUGCCUUGUAGCGGGGGAUAACUAUUGGAAACGAUAGCUAAUACCGCAUAACAAUGGAUGACACAUGUCAUUUAUUUGAAAGGGGCAAUUGCUCCACUACAAGAUGGACCUGCGUUGUAUUAGCUAGUAGGUGAGGUAACGGCUCACCUAGGCGACGAUACAUAGCCGACCUGAGAGGGUGAUCGGCCACACUGGGACUGAGACACGGCCCAGACUCCUACGGGAGGCAGCAGUAGGGAAUCUUCGGCAAUGGGGGCAACCCUGACCGAGCAACGCCGCGUGAGUGAAGAAGGUUUUCGGAUCGUAAAGCUCUGUUGUAAGUCAAGAACGAGUGUGAGAGUGGAAAGUUCACACUGUGACGGUAGCUUACCAGAAAGGGACGGCUAACUACGUGCCAGCAGCCGCGGUAAUACGUAGGUCCCGAGCGUUGUCCGGAUUUAUUGGGCGUAAAGCGAGCGCAGGCGGUUUGAUAAGUCUGAAGUUAAAGGCUGUGGCUCAACCAUAGUUCGCUUUGGAAACUGUCAAACUUGAGUGCAGAAGGGGAGAGUGGAAUUCCAUGUGUAGCGGUGAAAUGCGUAGAUAUAUGGAGGAACACCGGUGGCGAAAGCGGCUCUCUGGUCUGUAACUGACGCUGAGGCUCGAAAGCGUGGGGAGCGAACAGGAUUAGAUACCCUGGUAGUCCACGCCGUAAACGAUGAGUGCUAGGUGUUGGAUCCUUUCCGGGAUUCAGUGCCGCAGCUAACGCAUUAAGCACUCCGCCUGGGGAGUACGACCGCAAGGUUGAAACUCAAAGGAAUUGACGGGGGCCCGCACAAGCGGUGGAGCAUGUGGUUUAAUUCGAAGCAACGCGAAGAACCUUACCAGGUCUUGACAUCCCGAUGCUAUUUCUAGAGAUAGAAAGUUACUUCGGUACAUCGGUGACAGGUGGUGCAUGGUUGUCGUCAGCUCGUGUCGUGAGAUGUUGGGUUAAGUCCCGCAACGAGCGCAACCCCUAUUGUUAGUUGCCAUCAUUCAGUUGGGCACUCUAGCGAGACUGCCGGUAAUAAACCGGAGGAAGGUGGGGAUGACGUCAAAUCAUCAUGCCCCUUAUGACCUGGGCUACACACGUGCUACAAUGGUUGGUACAACGAGUUGCGAGUCGGUGACGGCAAGCUAAUCUCUUAAAGCCAAUCUCAGUUCGGAUUGUAGGCUGCAACUCGCCUACAUGAAGUCGGAAUCGCUAGUAAUCGCGGAUCAGCACGCCGCGGUGAAUACGUUCCCGGGCCUUGUACACACCGCCCGUCACACCACGAGAGUUUGUAACACCCGAAGUCGGUGAGGUAACCUUUUGGAGCCAGC